GAUGAACGCUGGCGGCGUGCCUAAUACAUGCAAGUCGAGCGAACAGAUGAGGAGCUUGCUCCUCUGACGUUAGCGGCGGACGGGUGAGUAACACGUGGAUAACCUACCUAUAAGACUGGGAUAACUUCGGGAAACCGGAGCUAAUACCGGAUAAUAUAUUGAACCGCAUGGUUCAAUAGUGAAAGACGGUUUUGCUGUCACUUAUAGAUGGAUCCGCGCCGCAUUAGCUAGUUGGUAAGGUAACGGCUUACCAAGGCAACGAUGCGUAGCCGACCUGAGAGGGGGAUCGGCCACACUGGAACUGAGACACGGUCCAGACUCCUACGGGAGGCAGCAGUAGGGAAUCUUCCGCAAUGGGCGAAAGCUUGACGGAGCAACGCCGCGUGAGUGAUGAAGGUCUUCGGAUCGUAAAACUCUGUUAUUAGGGAAGAACAAAUGUGUAAGUAACUAUGCACGUCUUGACGGUACCUAAGCAGAAAGCCACGGCUAACUACGU
RNAcentral lists this ribosomal RNA (496 nucleotides) under uncultured bacterium. Its description in RNAcentral is "partial 16S ribosomal RNA". It matches the Rfam family "Bacterial small subunit ribosomal RNA", at positions 28 to 506 of the family's 1533-position model. The record is from RNAcentral.